This 444-nucleotide ribosomal RNA is filed under the name uncultured bacterium. Its description in RNAcentral is "partial 16S ribosomal RNA". It matches the Rfam family "Bacterial small subunit ribosomal RNA", at positions 354 to 796 of the family's 1533-position model. The record is from RNAcentral.
GUAGGGAAUAUUGGGCAAUGGAGGCAACUCUGACCCAGCCAUGUCGCGUGCAGGAAGACGGUCCUCUGGAUUGUAAACUGCUUUUGAAUGGGAAGAACACUACCCUUGCGAGGGUAUUUGACGGUACUAUUAGAAUAAGCACCGGCUAACUCCGUGCCAGCAGCCGCGGUAAUACGGAGGGUGCAAGCGUAUCCGGAAUCACUGGGUGUAAAGGGUACGUAGGCGGUUAAUUAAGUCAGUAGUGAAAGACUGUCGCUAAACGACGGAGGUGCUAUUGAUACUGGUUAACUUGAAUCAGGUUAGAGUUGGAGGAAUGGGUCAUGUAGCGGUGAAAUGCUUAGAUAUGACUUGGAACGCCGAUAGCGAAGGCAGCUGACUGUGCCUUGAUUGACGCUGAGGUACGAAAGUGUGGGUAGCGAACAGGAUUAGAUACCCCUGUAGUCC